CGCCGCGUGGGUGAAGAAGGCUUUCGGGUCGUAAAGCCCUGUCAGGUGGGAAGAACCGUUUCGAUACUAAUAAUGUCGAAGCCUGACGGUACCACCAAAGGAAGCACCGGCCAACUCCGUGCCAGCAGCCGCGGUAAUACGGAGGGUGCAAGCGUUGUUCGGAAUUAUUGGGCGUAAAGAGCGUGUAGGCGGUUCGGUAAGUCAGAUGUGAAAGCCCUGGGCUCAACCCAGGAAGUGCAUUUGAAACUACCGGACUUGAGUACGGGAGAGGAGGGGGGAAUUCCCGGUGUAGAGGUGAAAUUCGUAAAUAUCGGGAGGAAUACCAGUGGCGAAGGCGCCCCUCUGGACCGAUACUGACGCUGAGACGCGAAAGCGUGGGGAGCAAACAGGAUUAGAUACCCUGGUAGA
This 408-nucleotide ribosomal RNA is filed under the name uncultured bacterium. Its description in RNAcentral is "bacterial SSU rRNA". It matches the Rfam family "Bacterial small subunit ribosomal RNA", at positions 395 to 794 of the family's 1533-position model. The record is from RNAcentral.